This 77-nucleotide transfer RNA is filed under the name Acidaminococcus sp. CAG:917. Its description in RNAcentral is "transfer RNA-Met(CAT)". It matches the Rfam family "tRNA". Rfam says of the family: Transfer RNA (tRNA) molecules are approximately 80 nucleotides in length. Their secondary structure includes four short double-helical elements and three loops (D, anti-codon, and T loops). RNAcentral also lists the same sequence under 5 other names. Lineage: Bacteria; Bacillati; Bacillota; Negativicutes; Acidaminococcales; Acidaminococcaceae. The record is from RNAcentral.
GGCGGCGUAGCUUAGUUGGUUAGAGCGGCCGGUUCAUACCCGGCAGGUCGUUGGUUCGACUCCGACCGCCGCUACCA